RNAcentral lists this long non-coding RNA (1033 nucleotides) under Betta splendens (Siamese fighting fish). RNAcentral describes it as "lncRNA (ENSBSLG00000004814.1)". The record is from RNAcentral. Lineage: Eukaryota; Metazoa; Chordata; Actinopteri; Anabantiformes; Osphronemidae.
UGCAUAUGAAUGCAUUGUGUACCCCUUUCUUUGAUUACUGUUUUAUAUUUAAUAAAUAUUUAGUAUUUAAUCAAAAGUUUUGCUUAUUUGGUCUUUAUUUUCUCCCUCAUAAUAUGAUAAUAUUCAAAUAAUGUGUGUGUGUGUGUGUGUGUGUGUGUGUGUGUGUGUGUGUGUGUGUGUGUGUGUGUGUGUGUGUGUGUGAGCGUGGGGUCGCGUCAGACACCCCGGGAGGACGCGGUGUUCACGGGGUGGUGAAAUAUAUAUAUAUUUUUUUACAUGUAUGGGGAGCGUGGCUGCUGCGGGCACGGAGGUCUGCGUUAUUGUGUCAACGCUAUUCCACCAGUCUCAAUGUGAGGAGCGCUGCGGUGGAACCUAUUGACCAGUCGCCGCCUCAUUUCCAAUUUUUACACAAGUUUACACAAGUUUUCCCUCGAUUUCCCAGGUUUCCCAGGAUUUUUCCGAGUUGGAGGAUCCUCCUGGUGGGAAUAAAUUGCCCGGGUCGGAGGACUUUUUCCACGUUGGACAAAGUGGAGAACGGUUCAGGAGGAGUUGUCUGGCGGUGAGAUGACGAUGAGCCGAUUGGAGGAUCCCUCGCUGGUCCAGAUUUUGGGUUGGGUGCCUGUGUGCGGGGGAGGGAGGUGCGGCGAACCUUAAAAGUCGCAGAGAGAAUACAUCGCAGUACCACUUCACCUGACAAGCUUGGAACGAGCGUUUAUCCACAGUCUCGUCGAAAGGUUCCAACGCUAUGGCCUCUCAAGAAGGUGACCUGCAAACCGACGGCUGCGCUGUGUUCGAGCUGCGGCUCGAGCGGACCACAGACUGUCUGCGCCUUCGCGUAGAAGAAGAGGGAACCCCGUGCUGUUGGAUCAUAGCGGAUUCCCAGACCUGGAAGGAGGCCUAGACGAAGGUCUGGAGUGCGACUGUUUGUGUGGGAACGCUCUGGCCGCUGAGGGUGCCUUGAGGGCCUUGUUGGACAAACACAUCCUGGCCAGCGACGGACGGUGUGCUCGUGUCAAGGCUCAUUACAAACACC